This 433-nucleotide ribosomal RNA is filed under the name uncultured bacterium. RNAcentral's name for it is "partial 16S ribosomal RNA". It matches the Rfam family "Bacterial small subunit ribosomal RNA", at positions 29 to 507 of the family's 1533-position model. The record is from RNAcentral.
AACGAACGCUGGCGGCAUGCCUAACACAUGCAAGUCGAACGAGACCUUCGGGUCUAGUGGCGCACGGGUGCGUAACGCGUGGGAACCUGCCCUUAGGCUCGAAAUAACUCCCCGAAAGGGGUGCUAAUACCGGAUAAUGUCUUCGGACCAAAGAUUUAUCGCCUUUGGAUGGGCCCGCGUUGGAUUAGCUAGUUGGUAGGGUAAAAGCCUACCAAGGCGACGAUCCAUAGCUGGUCUGAGAGGAUGAUCAGCCACACUGGGACUGAGACACGGCCCAGACUCCUACGGGAGGCAGCAGUGGGGAAUAUUGGACAAUGGGCGAAAGCCUGAUCCAGCAAUGCCGCGUGAGUGAUGAAGGCCUUAGGGUUGUAAAGCUCUUUUACCCGGGAUGAUAAUGACAGUACCGGGAAAAUAAGCUCCGGCUAACUCCGUG